RNAcentral lists this unclassified non-coding RNA (345 nucleotides) under soil metagenome. Its description in RNAcentral is "partial contains 5.8S ribosomal RNA, internal transcribed spacer 2, and large subunit ribosomal RNA". The stretch from base 1 to 120 matches the Rfam family "5.8S ribosomal RNA", at positions 35 to 154 of the family's 154-position model. The record is from RNAcentral.
GAUGAAGAACGCAGCGAAAUGCGAUACGUAAUGUGAAUUGCAGAAUUCAGUGAAUCAUCGAGUCUUUGAACGCACAUUGCGCCCCCUGGUAUUCCGGGGGGCAUGCCUGUCCGAGCGUCAUUGCUGCCCUCAAGCACGGCUUGUGUGUUGGGCCUCCGUCCUCCUCCCGGGGGACGGGCCCGAAAGGCAGCGGCGGCACCGCGUCCGGUCCUCGAGCGUAUGGGGCUUCGUCACCCGCUCUUGUAGGCCCGGCCGGCGCUUGCCGACACAUCAAUCUUUUUUCCAGGUUGAACUCGGAUCAGGUAGGGAUACCCGCUGAACUUAAGCAUAACAAUAAGCGGAGGA